AUGGCUGCUGCUGCUGCUGCUCAGCCUCGUGUCAUGGUGCUACCCUUUCCUGCGCAGGGCCACGUCAUCCCGCUCAUGGAGCUGUCGCGCAAGCUCGUCGAGCACGGCUUCGAGAUCGACUUCGUGAACACCGAGUUCAACCACGACCGCGUCCUCCAGGCCUUGGCAGAGGACGGAGCAAUCCCAGGAGGAAUUCACAUGCUCUCCGUACCGGACGGCCUGGGGCCGGCCGACGACCACACCGACAUCGGCGCACUGGUCAAGGGACUACCGGCCGCUAUGUCCGGCCGCCUCGAGGGGAUGAUCAGGUCGAGGAAGACCAAGUGGAUGAUAGCGGACGUGUCCAUGAGCUGGGCCCUGGAGCUGGCCACCACGGCGGGCGUCCGUGUCGCCUUGUUCUCCACGUACUCUGCAGCCGUGUUCGCGCUCAGGUUGAAGCUCCCAAAGCUGAUAGAGGACGGCGUUGUUGAUGAAAGUGGGAACGUGAAGAGGAACGAGAGGGUCCAACUGAUGCCGCCCGUUGACGCGGCCGAGAUCCCCUGGGUCAGCCUUGGCAGCACGCCUGAGAGGCGCAGAACCAACAUCCAAAACGUCCUCAGGACCAACCGGUUGAUGCCGCUAGCUGAGACGAUCAUAUGCAACACCUUCAUGGAGAUGGAACCUGACGCUCUGGCUCUGCUCCCAAACGCGCUGCCGCUCGGCCCGCUGGUAGCGCCGACGUCGAGGCCCGCCGGACAUUUCCUACCCGAAGACCUCACCUGCCUCGCCUGGCUCGACGCGCAGGCCCCCUGCUCCGUCGUCUACGUCGCCUUCGGGAGCUCCGGCAUCUUGGACGCGACGCAGUUCCAAGAGCUUGCCGACGGGCUCGCGCUCUCCGGCCGACCGUUCCUGUGGGUCGUCCGGCCAAACUUCACCACCGGAGCCACGGAAGGUUGGUUCGACGCGUUCAAGCGCCACGUCGAGGGAAAGGGUCUGAUCGUCGGCUGGGCGCCGCAGCAACGCGUGCUCUCGCACCGGGCCGUCGCCUGCUUCGUGUCGCACUGCGGGUGGAACUCGACCAUGGAAGGCAUGCUGCACGGCGUGCUGUUCCUCUGCUGGCCGUACUUCGCCGACCAGUUCUCCAACCAGAGCUACAUCUGCAACGUUUGGGGCACCGGCAUCAAGCUUUGCCGAGACGAGCGAGGGGUCGUAGCGAAGGAGGAGAUCGAGAGCAAGGUGGCGCGGCUGCUCGGCGACGAGGGGGUCAAGGCGAGGGCUGCGACGUGGAAGGACAAGGCUUGUGCGAGCAUUGCAGAGGGCGGGUCCUCGCAUGAGUACCUACUCAAGCUUGUGGAUUUGCUAGUAGAGCAGGGAUCCCAUCACGACACCGCGUGA
Molecule: ribosomal RNA, 1374 nt
Filed under: Triticum aestivum (bread wheat)
Lineage: Eukaryota; Viridiplantae; Streptophyta; Magnoliopsida; Poales; Poaceae
Description: partial small subunit ribosomal RNA
Source: RNAcentral